RNAcentral lists this ribosomal RNA (115 nucleotides) under Gillisella vitis. The record is from RNAcentral. Lineage: Bacteria; Pseudomonadati; Pseudomonadota; Alphaproteobacteria; Hyphomicrobiales; Rhizobiaceae.
CCUGGUGGUCAUGGCGGGGUGGCUGCACCCGUUCCCAUUCCGAACACGGCCGUGAAACGCCCCUGCGCCAAUGGUACUUCGUCUUAAGACGCGGGAGAGUAGGUCGCUGCCAGGU